GAUCUGUGAUGAGAGAAAGCCAAAUCUGAGCACCAAAAGAUCAGCUGAUCUACAUGGUGUUAUGAUCUGUGUACAGUUCUGGGA
Small nucleolar RNA from Crocodylus porosus (Australian saltwater crocodile), 84 nucleotides. NCBI's taxonomy places the organism in Eukaryota, Metazoa, Chordata, Crocodylia, Crocodylidae. The record is from Ensembl.